GUGACCUCAAAUCAGGUAGGACUACCCGCUGAACUUAAGCAUAUCAAUAAGCGGAGGAAAAGAAACUAACAAGGAUUCCCCUAGUAACUGCGAGUGAAGCGGGAAAAGCUCAAAUUUAAAAUCUGUCAGUCUUUGGCUGUCCGAGUUGUAAUCUAGAGAAGUGUUAUCCGCGCUGGACCGUGUACAAGUCUCCUGGAAUGGAGCGUCAUAGAGGGUGAGAAUCCCGUCUUUGACACGGACUGCCAGGGCUUUGUGAUGCGCUCUCAAAGAGUCGAGUUGUUUGGGAAUGCAGCUCAAAAUGGGUGGUAAAUUCCAUCUAAAGCUAAAUAUUGGCGAGAGACCGAUAGCGAACAAGUACCGUGAGGGAAAGAUGAAAAGAACUUUGGAAAGAGAGUUAAACAGUACGUGAAAUUGCUGAAAGGGAAACGCUUGAAGUCAGUCGCGUUGUCCAGGGAUCAACCUUGCUUUUGCUUGGUG
RNAcentral lists this ribosomal RNA (477 nucleotides) under Cortinarius sp. F15804. RNAcentral describes it as "eukaryotic LSU rRNA". It matches the Rfam family "Eukaryotic large subunit ribosomal RNA", at positions 1 to 470 of the family's 3401-position model. Lineage: Eukaryota; Fungi; Basidiomycota; Agaricomycetes; Agaricales; Cortinariaceae. The record is from RNAcentral.